UUUUAACACAGUCUGAACUGUUCCUUUCACAGUGAUAGGGCUAAAAGCAGAGAGGCACAAAAGUGCUUGCAAAUUUAAACAAAACCUAGGGAUAUUUUUUUAGCUAUUUUUUCUUUUCCUGCUGACUUGCAGUGGUGGAAGGAAUGUUGCAAUAUUUGACUUGAGUAAAACUGUAGAAGAUUAGCAACAAUAUCUACUUAAAAGGCACUCGCAGCUGCUAAUGCCUUUGUUCAGUGGUGUGGUUGACUAGUGACAAAUUGACUGAUUUGUAUGAUGGAGACACUGAGAUGGAGAAGUUGCCGAUGAGACGCUGGAAGCUGGCAGGAAUGAUUUACAGCCUCAAAAGCAUGGCAGCGAUUAAAAUUGUUUUGGGGAA
Long non-coding RNA from Micropterus salmoides (largemouth bass), 376 nucleotides. RefSeq lists it as uncharacterized. The record is from RefSeq and is a predicted model, not a curated record. The transcript has 3 exons. NCBI's taxonomy places the organism in Eukaryota, Metazoa, Chordata, Actinopteri, Centrarchiformes, Centrarchidae.